UGGGGCGUCGCCAAGCGGUAAGGCACGGGUCUUUGGAUCCCGCACUCGGAGGUUCGAAUCCUCCCGCCCCAGCCA
Molecule: transfer RNA, 75 nt
Filed under: Syntrophobacteraceae bacterium
Lineage: Bacteria; Pseudomonadati; Thermodesulfobacteriota; Syntrophobacteria; Syntrophobacterales; Syntrophobacteraceae
Description: tRNA-Gln
Rfam family: tRNA
About the family: Transfer RNA (tRNA) molecules are approximately 80 nucleotides in length. Their secondary structure includes four short double-helical elements and three loops (D, anti-codon, and T loops).
Source: RNAcentral